AGGACGAACGCUGGCGGCGUGCUUAACACAUGCAAGUCGAACGGUAAGGCCCCUUCGGGGGUACACGAGUGGCGAACGGGUGAGUAACACGUGAGCAACCUGCCCUUGACUCUGGAAUAACAGCUGGAAACAGCUGCUAAUACCGGAUAUGACCUCAAACGACAUCGUCUGAGGUGGAAAGCUCCGGCGGUCAAGGAUGGGCUCGCGGCCUAUCAGCUAGUUGGUGAGGUAACGGCUCACCAAGGCUUCGACGGGUA
RNAcentral lists this ribosomal RNA (257 nucleotides) under uncultured bacterium. RNAcentral's name for it is "partial small subunit ribosomal RNA". It matches the Rfam family "Bacterial small subunit ribosomal RNA", at positions 26 to 285 of the family's 1533-position model. The record is from RNAcentral.